GUCCUUGAAGCCAAUAUAAAAACUAAACCAAAGGCUAAUCAUGUAUCCACCAAUACAAUACCACAAGGUCAUACCAAAAUAAAGUUGUUUUUCAAGAAGUCAUUACUACAUGUCCAAAUAAUUAACUAAAUAAGUACCUAAACCAUAUUAAACAAUGAAGUCACUUGGUUCCACUCCUUUGGCUUGACAGAAAAGAUGAGGAUGUGCCUUCUUGACUGGAAGUCUUUGUGUUCCUUGAUGUACUCAUCCGUUAGAGUUGGUGUCAUGACCCAAAAUCCACUAAGGGUCGCGAUGGCGCCGGACACCCUGUUAGGCAAGCCAACCAUCAAUACUUAAUUAAAAUUCUCGUUUUGAAAAUUUUGAAAUCAUGAUUUUUCUUGAAUUUAAGAGUAAAAGAUGGACUUUACAGAAUAAAAAAUAAUAUUUUUAACAAUUUCAAUACUGAAUAACCCAUAAUCAUCCUAAAAUCCGGUGUCACAAGUGCAUGAGCAGUUUCUAAGAAAUAAUGUAAAAUAAUGACUGUCCGGAAUAUAAAUUGGACAGAGAAGAAAAUACAGUACAGUACUCUGAAAGAGACUUUGUUGGCUGCGGGUCGUCUCGAGAGGUGCAGCUCACCUAAGUCUCCGUAUCAAUCAUGCCGCUACACCCGACUAGGCUACUAGACAUACAUGUGCAUGUGCAACAAAAAUGCACAGCAAGUGUUGUAUGAGUACAAAAACAACGUGUACCCAGUAAGUAUCCCGUCCAACCUCGAAGAAGUAGUGACGAGAGGUCGAAUUUGACACUUACUAGUGGUCCAAUAAUAAUGUAUUAAUAAUGUGAAUAAUCAUGGAUUUAUUAGAAACGACAGUAAACUCAAGUAAAUCAAGAAAACAAGUAAACAAUCCUUUUUAUAUUAGGAAGUCUCCAAAUUCAUAUUCCAUUGUUUAUCAAUUUAUCUCGGACCAGGGAGGCAAUAUUAUUUUUUGUAAAUCUCAAGCAAGAAUUACAAGCAUGCGCAAAUCAUGCCAAGAUCAUACGGCCCGAUCCAACAUAAAUGUAAAAUGUGCACUGCCGAGGGUCGAACGGCGUGAACCAUAGAUGCAUCUAUUACCCCACUCGCGAAUCAUACAUGCGACACGGUCAAAUAUAAAUAAUUAAGUUACCCCGCUCGCGAAUCAUACAUGCGACGCAGGUACUUAUAGAUACACAUUUUCAAACAAUCAAUUAAAAAUUCAUCAGGAAACAUUUAUCCAAGCAAAAGCCAAUUCUCUUUUAACGAUUUAAGAAAAUGAAGUUUAAUCCCUUUUAAAAAAAAAAUUCUUUUACUAAUUCGAUAUGAUUUAAGUAAUUUAAGUUGUCAAUAAGAUUAUACAUAGUUUAGGUAUAACAUGCUUUUGGGUCCUAGACUACCCGGACUUAAGCACAAUAGUAGCUACGCAUGGACUCUCGUCACCUUGUGCGUACGUAGCCCCCCCAAAUAGAAGCACAUAACCAAUUAUUUUACCUAUGGGGACAAUUCCCUCUUACAAGGUUAGAAAGGAGACUUACCUUGCUUCGAAGUUCCAUAGUCGGCUCCCAAGCCUUUCAAACAACUCGACCGAUGCCCAACGCUCCAAAACUCACUUUUGCUUUAUUAACAUUCACAAGCUUUAAAUCCUCCUCCGACAUUGUAACAUUGAGUAAAAUGCUCAUACGCCACCAACAAAUUGAUAUCUACAAUUACAAUCAAAAUAUGACUCAAAAAUAUUUAUCAAUAUCCAUCUAUGGCUCACAAGUUGGCUACAAGCCUUCGGCUCAAAUCGUCUAAUUAAUUCUAGCACACUCUACUCUUAUUAUUUAAUACCUAUUUGAAGUCAUCAACAAUACUACAUUAAUUCUCCAACACCGCCAAAUUACUAUUCAUUGUUUUCCUUAACCAACAUUUCCAAAACAUUCAAUUUAGUGAUUACUUAGUUGAAAACUUCCAACUAAGCUAGAAAAUGAUUCUAUAAGUUCAUUGCAUCCUUUAAUUUCAUUUCUAAUAACACUAUUUAUCUUUCCCUAAUUUUCUCAAGAACACUAUUCAUGCUAUGAACUAGGGAUUAUGAAAUCAAUUAUCCGACCAUAACAACUUGAAACAAAUAUUAGAAUUACUCUCACCGACUUAUAAAAAAUGAGCUUGAAGCAUUAAAAUUACCUUCUUGAAGUUUUUCCUUAAAAAUCCAAUGUUUGGAAAAUUUGGUGUUCUUGAACAACUUGAAAGAUUUCUAUGGAUUUCAAAGAAUGAAUGAUGUUAAUACUAGUGUUAAUAGGAUGUU
This 2279-nucleotide long non-coding RNA is filed under the name Nicotiana tabacum (common tobacco). RNAcentral's name for it is "long non-coding RNA (NTAB_LNC002122)". Lineage: Eukaryota; Viridiplantae; Streptophyta; Magnoliopsida; Solanales; Solanaceae. The record is from RNAcentral.